RNAcentral lists this ribosomal RNA (375 nucleotides) under uncultured organism. RNAcentral describes it as "partial 16S ribosomal RNA". It matches the Rfam family "Bacterial small subunit ribosomal RNA", at positions 527 to 896 of the family's 1533-position model. The record is from RNAcentral.
GUAGGUGGCAAGCGUUGUCCGGAAUUAUUGGGCGUAAAGCGCGCGCAGGCGGGGUCCUUUAAGUCUGAUGUGAAAGCCCACGGGCUCAACCGUGGAGGGUCAUUGGAAACUGGGGGACUUGAGUACAGAAGAGGAAAGCGGAAUUCCAAGUGUAGCGGCGAAAUGCGUAGAGAUUUGGAGGAACACCAGUGGCGAAGGCGGCUUUCUGGUCUGUAACUGACGCUGAGGCGCGAAAGCGUGGGGAGCAAACAGGAUUAGAUACCCUGGUAGUCCACGCCGUAAACGAUGAGUGCUAAGUGUUAGGGGGUUUCCGCCCCUUAGUGCUGCAGCUAACGCAUUAAGCACUCCGCCUGGGGAGUACGGCCGCAAAGGCUG